This 76-nucleotide transfer RNA is filed under the name Bacteroidales bacterium. Its description in RNAcentral is "tRNA-Gly". It matches the Rfam family "tRNA". Rfam says of the family: Transfer RNA (tRNA) molecules are approximately 80 nucleotides in length. Their secondary structure includes four short double-helical elements and three loops (D, anti-codon, and T loops). Further hydrogen bonds mediate the characteristic L-shaped molecular structure. tRNAs have two regions of fundamental functional importance: the anti-codon, which is responsible for specific mRNA codon recognition, and the 3' end, to which the tRNAs corresponding amino acid is attached (by aminoacyl-tRNA synthetases). tRNAs cope with the degeneracy of the genetic code in two manners: having more than one tRNA (with a specific anti-codon) for a particular amino acid; and 'wobble' base-pairing, i.e. permitting non-standard base-pairing at the 3rd anti-codon position. The record is from RNAcentral. Lineage: Bacteria; Pseudomonadati; Bacteroidota; Bacteroidia; Bacteroidales.
GCGGGUGUAGCUCAGUUGGUAGAGCNCCUGUUUGCCAUACAGGAGGUUUUCGAGGGUUCGAACCCCUUCACCCGCU